GCUUUGAAUUUCCCCUUAGCUAAGGGGGGUUUAGUUACUCAUAAUUGCAACAAAAUCAUAAUAUAACAAAGUAGAUAUUGAAAGCAAGAACGAAGUACACCUAAAACGCUCCAAAUUUUCAAGUUUGCAAUGCCAAGGACCUUCGUUUUCACCACCUUGUUGCAGCACAAGUAUCUAAGGAUGUGUAUGGAUUUAUGGAAAGGUUAUGAAUGUAUUUAGGUUGGAUGGAUGCCACGGCAAGGUUGAAGGGAAUGUAUGUAUUUGUGUUUGAUUUUUGGUUGGAUGAGUGCCACGGCAAGGGAAUGGAUUUGUAUGUGUUUAUGGGAUGUGGGAAUAUAUGGAUGAAUGUAAGGUGCUCACGACUAGGGAAUUCGAAUCCUAGUUAUGGUGAAGGGUGGAUGUAUUUAUAGGCUAGGGAGAGGAUGUAGUGGGUGAUGGUAAUGAGUGGAUAUAGUGGUAGGUGAAUGUGUUAGGUGGUUGAAAUGAGUGGAUGUAGUGGUAGGUUAAUGUGUUGAGUGGUUGUAAUGAGUGGAUGUGUUGGGUGAAAUGAGUGGAUGUAGUGGUAAAUGAACGGAUGUGUUGGGUGAAAUGAGUGGAUGUAGUGGUAGGUGAAUGUUUGGUAAUAAGUGGAUGUAAUGGGUGUAGUGGAUGGAUGUUUGGUAAUGAGUGGAUGUAAUGGGUGUAGUGGGUGAGUGUUGUGGUAAUGAGUGGAUGUAAUGGGUGUAGUGGAUGAGUGUUUGGUAAUCAGUGGAUGUAAGAUGGAUGUUUGGUAAUGAAUGGAUGUAAUGGGUGUAGUGGAUGGAUGUUUGUAGUUAUAGGUCAACAUACUUGCACACACACAUGCUGAUUUCUAGCCUUCAAAUCUUCAAAAAUGUCCAUCCUCAGGUCUUCAUGCUUGCACUAUCCAAAUAGCACUUUGUUGCUAACUUUUUUAUUUGAACCUACAAACACACAAAAAUAGCUUAAAGUACUAAAAUAACUAGAAUUAAACUAAGUAAAUGCCAAGAAACAAGCUAACUAAGUUGCAUAAAUAUGCUCCUAUCAACAAGCACUAGGCAACCUGCUCACUCCGCCACCAACAACCACGUCUCUGAAAGCUUCGUGAAAGUCUUGGAAUCAUGCUCUGCCUUCUUAAAUUUAAAAGAUUUCCUUGCAUCGUAGCAAAGAAAUCCAUCAGUGGGGGCACACACAUUAUGCAUAAAAAAUAGACACAUUAUAUGGUAUUAUAUGUGUGUGUGUAUGUCUCUGUGUGUAUAUAUAUAUAUAUAUAUAUAUAAGACACGACAACCAAGUUCCAUAUAUAUAUAUAUAUAUAUACAAUGUGUACACAGUGAUGGUGACGGGACGAUCAACUUCCACAUAUAUAUAUAUAUAUAUAUAUAUUGAAAGGACGCAAAUGGUGAUGGUGAUAGGACAAAUAUAUAUAUACAUAUAUGCAUGGCUCAAAAGAUGGAAAUGGUAUACAUGGCGUCCUCAAACUUGAAACAGACAGGACAGUUACUUUCCACAUAUAUAUAUAUAUGUAUGUAUGGCUCAAAAGAUGGAAAUCGUGCUGAGCUUAAAACAGAUAGGCUCACAAAGACCUCAAAAGGCAAUGGAGGCAAAGGAAGCCUUACUUCUGGCGAAGAAAAUCCACGACAAACAAGACGGGUUAGAUAAAAAGAUGUCGGAUUUGCUCAAAGUGUAGCAAGAGGCAAGUUUGACAGCGCAACAUGAAACGACUCUAGGGGAGCUUCCAGCGAGUAACACACAUAAUGAGUGUACAAGCAACGGUGCAAUCCCAUAUAUAUAUAAAGGUCCCCGGAGAAGCAAAUGAAAUGCGGUGACUAUUCAAAUGCAAGUCCAUGACUAACAGUGACUGUGCAAACGACCACCCGUGUCUGGAAAAGAAAAACCAAAAUAAGAGGUGAUGGGAUGUUGCACUGGGAAAAUACGAUUAUGUACAAACACAAAAAGAAAGUGCCAGCUAAUGUUAAGUAA
This 1980-nucleotide long non-coding RNA is filed under the name Malus domestica (apple). RNAcentral's name for it is "long non-coding RNA (MDOM_LNC015171)". Lineage: Eukaryota; Viridiplantae; Streptophyta; Magnoliopsida; Rosales; Rosaceae. The record is from RNAcentral.